This 293-nucleotide ribosomal RNA is filed under the name uncultured eukaryote. RNAcentral's name for it is "partial 18S ribosomal RNA". It matches the Rfam family "Eukaryotic small subunit ribosomal RNA", at positions 6 to 305 of the family's 1831-position model. The record is from RNAcentral.
GGUUGAUCCUGCCAGUAUUAUAUGCUGAUGUUAAAGAUUAAGCCAUGCAUGUGUAAGUUUAAAGUCCUAGAUGGAUGAAACUGCGGACGGCUCAUUAUAACAGUAAUAGUUUCUUUGGUUAGUAUCUAUAAGGAUAACUUUGUGAAUGAUAAAGCUAAUACUUGAGACGAUCCUGUUUGUGGUAACACAAAUAGGCCAAGCUCCGCAAGGAGCGAGACAAUGAUACUCUCUAUGAAUAAGGGUACCACGACAAUUGUAGAACACGGAGUGUUUCACAAGUAACCAAUGAGAAU